UUAGUUAGUUGGUGGGUAAAGCCUACCAAGACAAUGAUGCAUAGCCGAGUUGAGAGACUGAUCGGCCACAUUGGGACUGAGACACGGCCCAAACUCCUACGGGAGGCUGCAGUAGGGAAUCUUCCACAAUGGGCGAAAGCCUGAUGGAGCAACGCCGCGUGUGUGAUGAAGGCUUUCGGGUCGUAAAGCACUGUUGUAUGGGAAGAAAAGUUAAGGUAGGGAAUGACCUUAGCCUGACGGUACCAUACCAGAAAGGGACGGCUAAAUACGUGCCAGCAGCCGCGGUAAUACGUAUGUCCCGAGCGUUAUCCGGAUUUAUUGGGCGUAAAGCGAGCGCAGACGGUUGGUUAAGUCUGAUGUGAAAGCCCGGAGCUCAACUCCGGAAAGGCAUUGGAAACUGGUUAACUUGAGUGCAGUAGAGGUAAGUGGAACUCCAUGUGUAGCGGUGGAAUGCGUAGAUAUAUGGAAGAACACCAGCGGCGAAGGCGGCUUACUGGACUGUAACUGACGUUGAGGCUCGAAAGUGUGGGUAGCAAACAGGAUUAGAUACCCUGGUAGUCCACACCGUAAACGAUGAACACUAGGUGUUAGGAGGUUUCCGCCUCUUAGUGCCGAAGCUAACGCAUUAAGUGUUCCGCCUGGGGAGUACGACCGCAAGGUUGAAACUCAAAGGAAUUGACGGGGACCCGCACAAGCGGUGGAGCAUGUGGUUUAAUUCGAAGCAACGCGAAGAACCUUACCAGGUCUUGACAUCCUUUGAAGCUUUUAGAAAUAGAAGUGUUCUCUUCGGAGACAAAGUGACAGGUGGUGCAUGGUCGUCGUCAGCUCGUGUCGUGAGAUGUUGGGUUAAGUCCCGCAACGAGCGCAACCCUUAUUGUUAGUUGCCAGCAUUCAGAUGGGCACUCUAGCGAGACUGCCGGUGACAAACCGGAGGAAGGCGGGGACGACGUCAGAUCAUCAUGCCCCUUAUGACCUGGGCUACACACGUGCUACAAUGGCGUAUACAACGAGUUGCCAACCUGCGAAGGUGAGCUAAUCUCUUAAAGUACGUCUCAGUUCGGACUGCAGUCUGCAACUCGACUGCACGAAGUCGGAAUCGCUAGUAAUCGCGGAUCAGCACGCCGCGGUGAAUACGUUCCCGGGUCUUGUACACACCGCCCGUCACACCAUGGAAGUUUGUAAUGCCCAAAGCCGGUGGCCUAACCGUAAGGAGGGAACCGUCUAAGGCAGAC
Molecule: ribosomal RNA, 1232 nt
Filed under: Leuconostoc carnosum
Lineage: Bacteria; Bacillati; Bacillota; Bacilli; Lactobacillales; Lactobacillaceae
Description: bacterial SSU rRNA
Rfam family: Bacterial small subunit ribosomal RNA
Source: RNAcentral